UGAGGAAUCUUGCGCAAUGGGCGAAAGCCUGACGCAGCGACGCCGCGUGGGGGAUGAAGGUCUUCGGAUUGUAAACUCCUGUUAAGUGGGAAGAAAUACGCAGUUAUAAUACAGCUGCGGGAUGACUGUACCAUUAGAGAAAGCACCGGCUAAACUCGUGCCAGCAGCCGCGGUAAUACGAGUGGUGCAAGCGUUAUUCGGAAUGAUUGGGCGUAAAGGGUGCGUAGACGGCAUAUUAAGUCAACUGUUAAAUUCCCCGGCCUAACUGGGGGCCAGCAGUAGAUACUGAUGUGCUUGAGGGUGGAAGAGAGAAGUAGAAUUCUCGGAGUAGCGGUAAAAUGCGUAGAUCUCGAGAGGAAUACCGAUGGCGAAGGCAGCUUCUUGGUCCACAUCUGACGUUGAGGCACGAAAGCGUGGGGAGCAAACAGGAUUAGAUACCCGCGUAGUCC
This 449-nucleotide ribosomal RNA is filed under the name uncultured bacterium. Its description in RNAcentral is "bacterial SSU rRNA". It matches the Rfam family "Bacterial small subunit ribosomal RNA", at positions 355 to 796 of the family's 1533-position model. The record is from RNAcentral.